RNAcentral lists this ribosomal RNA (577 nucleotides) under Staphylococcus argenteus. RNAcentral's name for it is "bacterial SSU rRNA". It matches the Rfam family "Bacterial small subunit ribosomal RNA", at positions 20 to 579 of the family's 1533-position model. Lineage: Bacteria; Bacillati; Bacillota; Bacilli; Caryophanales; Staphylococcaceae. The record is from RNAcentral.
UGGCUCAGGAUGAACGCUGGCGGCGUGCCUAAUACAUGCAAGUCGAGCGAACGGACGAGAAGCUUGCUUCUCUGAUGUUAGCGGCGGACGGGUGAGUAACACGUGGAUAACCUACCUAUAAGACUGGGAUAACUUCGGGAAACCGGAGCUAAUACCGGAUAAUAUUUUGAACCGCAUGGUUCAAAAGUGAAAGACGGUCUUGCUGUCACUUAUAGAUGGAUCCGCGCUGCAUUAGCUAGUUGGUAAGGUAACGGCUUACCAAGGCAACGAUGCAUAGCCGACCUGAGAGGGUGAUCGGCCACACUGGAACUGAGACACGGUCCAGACUCCUACGGGAGGCAGCAGUAGGGAAUCUUCCGCAAUGGGCGAAAGCCUGACGGAGCAACGCCGCGUGAGUGAUGAAGGUCUUCGGAUCGUAAAACUCUGUUAUUAGGGAAGAACAUAUGUGUAAGUAACUGUGCACAUCUUGACGGUACCUAAUCAGAAAGCCACGGCUAACUACGUGCCAGCAGCCGCGGUAAUACGUAGGUGGCAAGCGUUAUCCGGAAUUAUUGGGCGUAAAGCGCGCGUAGGCGGU